AUUAUCAAAGAAGAAAAACACAUAAAACUACCAACAACAGCAAAGCAAAUAGUUUUACAUUUUAAUUAAAAACAAACAAAAAAAUGUCAAACAAAUUUGUUGCAUUGUUGUUGUUGUUGGUGUGUGUUGUAACUGUUCAAGGUAGUGGAAAAUUGAUGACCCCAGAAGAGUGCUAUAGUUAUUGCUACAAAUCCAUGUUUUAUCCAAAAGCCAUGGCAGAUCCUAUUUGCAAAUAUCGUUGUCAAUUCCCUAUGUACGAGAACGACCCUGGUUUUCCAACGGGAAUAGCCUUGAACGUAAGGAAGGGUCUUCCUUCCAAUUGAAACUCCUGCAAGUUUUCCGAUCCCAGCACCAAAAGUUCUUUGAGAAAUGGAAAAUUUGUGAUUGAACAUGAAAUAGCAUGAUAAGCAAAAAGAAUUCAAGAAAAGCAUUAGGCUUUCUAACGAAUCUAUGUACUAUCAUCAUUCCAUGUCGAUGAUGUCCCUUUUCUUCUUCUUUGUUAUUUGUUACGACUAUAUAUAGAUUAAAUUUAUUCUUUA
Long non-coding RNA from Vicia villosa (hairy vetch), 539 nucleotides. RefSeq lists it as uncharacterized. The record is from RefSeq and is a predicted model, not a curated record. The transcript has 2 exons. Lineage: Eukaryota; Viridiplantae; Streptophyta; Magnoliopsida; Fabales; Fabaceae.